GAGUUUGAUCCUGGCUCAGGGUUAACGCUGGCGGCGCGCAUAACACAUGCAAGUCGAGCGAGGGCUUAUUUCUCGCAAGAGAGAUAAGUUCCUAGCGGCGAACGGGUGAGUAACACGUGGGCAACCUUUCCUAUCGCGGGGGAUAACACCGGGAAACCGAUGCUAAUACCGCAUGUCGUCUCCGGUCGCAUGGCUGGUGAAGAAAGCAGCAAUGCACGAUGGGGUGGGCCCGCGGCCUAUCAGCUAGUCGGUGGGGUAACGGCCUACCGAGGCGAUGACGGGUAGCUGGUCUGAGAGGACGGCCAGCCACACGGGGACUGAGACACGGCCCCGACUCCUACGGGAGGCAGCAGUGAGGAAUCUUCCGCAAUGGGCGAAAGCCUGACGGAGCGACGCCGCGUGUGGGAUGAAGUCCUUCGGGAUGUAAACCACUGUCGGAGGGGAAGACAUCGACGGUACCCUCCAAGAAAGCCCCGGCUAACUACGUGCCAGCAGCCGCGGUAAUACGUAGGGGGCAAGCGUUAUCCAGAUUUACUGGGCGUAAAGCGCGUGUAGGCGGCUGGUUAGGUGUGAUGUGAAAUCUUCCGGCUCAACCGGAAGACUGCAUUGCAAACCGGCCUGGCUAGAGUGCAGGAGAGGGAAGCGGAAUUCCAGGUGUAGCGGUGAAAUGCGUAGAUAUCUGGAGGAACACCAGUGGCGAAGGCGGCUUCCUGGCCUGCAACUGACGCUGAGACGCGAAAGCGUGGGGAGCGAACCGGAUUAGAUACCCGGGUAGUCCACGCCCUAAACGUUGUGAACUAGGUGUUGGUCGGAUUGACCCGAUCAGUGCCGCAGCUAACGCAUUAAGUUCACCGCCUGGGGACUACGGCCGCAAGGUUAAAACUCAAAGGAAUAGGCGGGGGCCCGCACAAGCAGCGGAGCGUGUGGUUUAAUUCGAGGCAACGCGAAGAACCUUACCUGGGUUUGACAUGCAGAGGAAACUUUGGUGAAAGCCAGAGCCUCCCGCAAGGGACUUCUGCGCAGGUGGUGCAUGGCUGUCGUCAGCUCGUGCCGUGAGGUGUUGGGUUAAGUCCCGCAACGAGCGCAACCCUUACUCUUAGUUGCCACCCGCAAGGGGGAACUCUAAGAGGACUGCUCCGGAUAACGGAGAGGAAGGUGGGGAUGACGUCAAGUCAGCACGGCCUUUAUGUCCAGGGCUACGCCCACGCUACAAUGGCCGGUACAACGGGCUGCGAAACCGCGAGGUGGAGCGAAUCCCUUAAAGCCGGUCUCAGUUCGGAUUGUAGGCUGCAACUCGCCUACAUGAAGCCGGAGUUGCUAGUAACCGCCGGUCAGCAUACGGCGGUGAAUAUGUUCCCGGGCCUGCACACAC
This 1372-nucleotide ribosomal RNA is filed under the name uncultured bacterium. RNAcentral describes it as "bacterial SSU rRNA". It matches the Rfam family "Bacterial small subunit ribosomal RNA". The record is from RNAcentral.